UGCAUAUCAAUAAGCGGAGGAAAAGAAACUAACAAGGAUUCCCCUAGUAACGGCGAGUGAAGCGGGAUGAGCUCAAAUUUGUAAUCUGGUGGACUCAGUUCAUCCGAGUUGUAAUCUAUAGAAGUGUUUUCCGCGCUGGACCGUGUCUAAGUCCCUUGGAACAGGGUGUCAGAGAGGGUGAGAAUCCCGUGCUUGAUACGACCACCAGUGCUAUGUGAUACACUUUCAACGAGUCGAGUUGUUUGGGAAUGCAGCUCAAAAUGGGUGGUAAAUUCCAUCUAAAGCUAAAUAUUGGCGAGAGACCGAUAGCGAACAAGUACCGUGAGGGAAAGAUGAAAAGCACUUUGGAAAGAGAGUUAAACAGUACGUGAAAUUGUUAAAAGGGAAACGAUUGAAGUCAGUCGUGCUCUCUGGGACUCAGCCGGUUCUUCCGGUGUACUUCCCAGUGAGCGGGUCAACAUCAGUUUAGAUCGCUGGAUAAAGGUAUUAGGAAGGUGGCUCCCUCGGGAGUGUUAUAGCCUAGUAUCGCAUACAGUGGUUUAGACUGAGGAACGCAGCUCGCCUUUAUGGCCGGGGUUCGCUCACGUCCGAGCUUAGGAUGUUGACAUAAUGGCUUUAAACGACCCGUCUUGAAACACGGACCA
This 644-nucleotide ribosomal RNA is filed under the name Holtermanniella wattica. RNAcentral describes it as "LSU rRNA". It matches the Rfam family "Eukaryotic large subunit ribosomal RNA", at positions 37 to 668 of the family's 3401-position model. Lineage: Eukaryota; Fungi; Basidiomycota; Tremellomycetes; Holtermanniales. The record is from RNAcentral.